AAUCAACGCUGGCGGCGUGCCUAACACAUGCAAGUCGAGCGGCAGCGCGGGAGCAAUCCUGGCGGCGAGCGGCGGACGGGCGAGUAAUGCUUGGGAAUCUGCCUGUUAGUGGGGGACAACCCGGGGAAACGUCGGGCGUAAUACCGCAUACGCACUACGGUGGAAAGCCGGGGACCGCAAGGCCUGGCGCUAACAGAUGAGCCCAAGUCGGAUUAGCUAGUUGGUAGGGUAACGGCCACCAAGGCGACGAUCCGUAACUGGUCUGAGAGGACGACCAGUCACACCGGAACUGAGACACGGUCCGGACUCCUACGGGAGGCAGCA
RNAcentral lists this ribosomal RNA (324 nucleotides) under uncultured bacterium. RNAcentral's name for it is "bacterial SSU rRNA". It matches the Rfam family "Bacterial small subunit ribosomal RNA", at positions 29 to 353 of the family's 1533-position model. The record is from RNAcentral.